CCUACGGGUGGCAGCAGUGGGGAAUAUUGGACAAUGGGCGAAAGCCUGAUCCAGCCAUGCCGCGUGUGUGAAGAAGGCCUUCGGGUUGUAAAGCACUUUCAGUGGGGAAGAAAGCCUUGGGGCUAAUACCCUCGAGGAAGGACAUCACCCACAGAAGAAGCACCGGCUAACUCCGUGCCAGCAGCCGCGGUAAUACGGAGGGUGUGAGCGUUAAUCGGAAUUACUGGGCGUAAAGCGCGCGUAGGCGGUCUGAUAAGCCGGUUGUGAAAGCCCCGGGCUCAACCUGGGAACGGCAUCCGGAACUGUCAGGCUAGAGUGCAGGAGAGGAAGGUAGAAUUCCCGGUGUAGCGGUGAAAUGCGUAGAGAUCGGGAGGAAUACCAGUGGCGAAGGCGGCCUUCUGGACUGACACUGACGCUGAGGUGCGAAAGCGUGGGUAGCAAACAGGAUUAGAUACCCCGGUAGUC
This 465-nucleotide ribosomal RNA is filed under the name Vreelandella stevensii. RNAcentral's name for it is "partial 16S ribosomal RNA". It matches the Rfam family "Bacterial small subunit ribosomal RNA", at positions 338 to 795 of the family's 1533-position model. Lineage: Bacteria; Pseudomonadati; Pseudomonadota; Gammaproteobacteria; Oceanospirillales; Halomonadaceae. The record is from RNAcentral.